UACGUAGGGGGCAAGCGUUGUCCGGAUUUAUUGGGCGUAAAGAGCGUGUAGGCGGCCAGACAGGUCCGUUGUGAAAACUCGAGGCUCAACCUCGAGAUGUCGAUGGAAACCGUCUGGCUAGAGUCCGGAAGAGGAGUGUGGAAUUCCUGGUGUAGCGGUGAAAUGCGCAGAUAUCAGGAAGAACACCUAUGGCGAAGGCAGCACUCUGGGACGGUACUGACGCUGAGACGCGAAAGUGUGGGGAGCAAACAGG
Molecule: ribosomal RNA, 253 nt
Filed under: uncultured bacterium
Lineage: Bacteria
Description: partial 16S ribosomal RNA
Rfam family: Bacterial small subunit ribosomal RNA
Source: RNAcentral